GUGGGGAAUCUUGCGCAAUGGGCGAAAGCCUGACGCAGCGACGCCGCGUGAGUGAUGAAGGCCUUCGGGUUGUAAAGCUCUGUGGAGGGGGACGAAUAAGGGUUGGCUAACAUCCAGCUCGAUGACGGUACCCCUUUAGCAAGCACCGGCUAACUCUGUGCCAGCAGCCGCGGUAAGACAGAGGGUGCAAACGUUGUUCGGAAUUACUGGGCGUAAAGCGCAUGUAGGCGGUUCGUAAAGUCAGAUGUGAAAGCCCUGGGCUUAACCCAGGAAGUGCAUUUGAAACUCACGAACUUGAGUCCCGGAGAGGAAGGCGGAAUUCUCGGUGUAGAGGUGAAAUUCGUAGAUAUCGAGAGGAACAUCGGUGGCGAAGGCGGCCUUCUGGACGGUGACUGACGCUGAGAUGCGAAAGCGUGGGGAGCAAACAGG
This 429-nucleotide ribosomal RNA is filed under the name uncultured bacterium. RNAcentral describes it as "bacterial SSU rRNA". It matches the Rfam family "Bacterial small subunit ribosomal RNA", at positions 354 to 776 of the family's 1533-position model. The record is from RNAcentral.